Molecule: RNA transcript, 2420 nt
Organism: Engraulis encrasicolus (European anchovy)
Lineage: Eukaryota; Metazoa; Chordata; Actinopteri; Clupeiformes; Engraulidae
Gene: luc7l3
Gene name: LUC7-like 3 pre-mRNA splicing factor
Exons: 13
Source: RefSeq, a predicted model, not a curated record
GGUAAUAACCAUGAAGUAGCUGCCUGCCAUUUUGUUGCUGUUGUCGGAAGCGCUAAGUUACUGUGCUGAAGUUAAAUGCUGUGAAAGGAGCUUUUUGCUUGAAUAGCUGCUAAAAUUCAGGCAAAAUGCUUUCUGCAGCUCAGUUACUCGACGAGUUAAUGGGCCGGGACAGAAAUUUGGCCCCCGACGAGAAACGAAGCAAUGUCCGUUGGGACCACGAGACUGUGUGCAAGUACUAUCUGUGUGGAUUCUGUCCUGCCGAGCUUUUCACAAACACCCGAUCAGAUUUGGGUCCAUGUGAAAAGAUCCACGAUGAGAACCUUAGGAAAUUGUAUGAGAAGAGCUCACGGUUCAUGAAGGUGGGCUAUGAACGGGACUUCCUGCGCUACCUGCAGAGUCUGUUGGCGGAGGUGGAGAGGCGGAUCCGCAGGGGCCAUGCUAGGCUGGCACUCUCACAAGCACAGCAGGCCGCCGGACAGGGACCUGGCCCCUCCACCAAGAAUGAAGAGAAGGCCUCGGUGCUGACGGAAAAGAUUGAAGAGCUGGUCCUUCAGAUAGAGGAGCUGGGUUCUGAGGGCCGCGUGGAGGAGGCGCAGGGUAUGAUGAAGCUGGUGGAGCAGCUGAAGGAAGAGAGGGAGCAGCUCAGCGCCAACCCUUCAACGAUUGAGAGCUUUGCGGCUCAGGAGAAACAGAUGGAGGUGUGUGAGGUGUGCGGAGCCUUCCUCAUCGUCGGAGAUGCACAGUCCCGUGUGGAUGACCACCUCAUGGGCAAACAGCACAUGGGCUACGCCAAGAUCAAGACUACUGUGGAGGAGCUCAAGGAGAAACUGCGGCGGCGCUCAGAGGAUCCCGAGCCGGACCCCAAGGUAAAGGAGCAGGAGACUCGUGAACGGGAACGAGAAGAGCGGGAGAAGAAACGCAAAGAGGAGGAGGAGGCGCGUGAGAAGGAACGCGAGAAGGAGAAGGAAAAAGAACGGGAGCGUGAGCGAGAGAGGGACCGGGAGCGCGAGAGGGAAAGGGACCGGGAGCGCGAGAGGGAACGGGACCGGGACAGACGAAGCAGACGCAGCAGCUCCAACAGCCGCCACUCAAGCCGGGCGUCCGACCGCAGGAGGAGUCGCUCACGAGAACGCAAACGCUCCCGCAGCAAGGACCGCGACCGCAAGCGCAGCAGGAGUCGCGACAGAGAGAGGAGGCGAAGCAGGGAGCGUUCGGACCGCAAGAGGCGUUCUCGCAGCCGCGAGAGGAAGAGGUCCCGCAGCUCGGAGCGCAAGUCCCACCGGCACCGCAGCCGUAGCAGGGACCGCGACAGAGACCGAGAGAGGGACCGGGACAGGGAGCGCGAGAGGGACAGGGACCGUGACAAGGACAGAUCCUCCAAAGACAAAGACCACAAGGACGGUGAGAAGCGCAGCAGCAAAAGGGCGUCCUCAGGCGAUGAGAAGGCCAGCGAGCUCCCCAAAGGAGAGUCCAUGGAGGUAGACGAUGCCCCCAAAGCCGAGCUCAAUGGCACCCGCGAAAACAUCCAAUCUGAAGGUGACACUCAGUCCAAUUAAAACUGAUCUGAUAGGACCUCAGAUCAGGCCCAGUGCAUCGUAAGUAUGCACUGAAGAUGGAAGAAGGUAGACAGAAUCUCAAAGCCAGAGGGAAAAGCCAGUGUAGCCCUGAGAAACACAUACUCGGAGCGUUGGUGUUGUGAGCGACUCUUCCCCCCCUCUCAUGAAAAAGCCAAAUUAAAAAUCACAAGGAUACUGUCAAACUCACUCAGGAGCCCUAUUGGAAGGCCACGAAAGGACAACACAAGAACAGAAGACCUCCCUGACCAGAAUACGCAACUCUGCUGCUUAAAACAAGGUGAACAACAGAUGUAGUGGCCUGUUGAAACAAAACCAUUUUUUAAAUUAAAAUAAAAAAAAUAAAACCAAUUACAGCCAAUUUAAAAUUGUUUGAAGAGAGGUUGCCCGUUUUUGCAGCAUUUGACAGGACCUGUAGUGGUUCAUUUCUGUUGAUGCCCUUUCUUUCUUAACUACUGCUAUGAAUUUAAACGUACACAUAAAACGGUAGAGGAGAAAUAUGUUUUAAGGUAUACACUUUGUUCACAGCAUUCAGGAUAACAGAAUAAAAGCUGUACCCGUGGCAUGUUUCUUCUUUUCUUUUUUCUUCUUUUUUUGCAGUUUGUAAAGUAAUGGUGUCAUUGUCACGGCAUUUGCCAUUCAGUCUCGGUUUUAAGCAAUUGUACAGUGUUUAGAAUUGGAAAGUAAGAAGGCUUUCCCUCUUCUCCCUCUGUAAGACAUACCCAAUUCAAAUCAGCCCACCUUUUAGGUUUCAGAAGUGAAUUAUUUCUUUUUUUUUGUUUCAUUUUUCAUUCUUGUUUGAAUCUUAAAACAUGUAUUUGUCUCAAAUAAAAUGUUAGAAAAUCA